This 1287-nucleotide ribosomal RNA is filed under the name metagenome. RNAcentral's name for it is "bacterial SSU rRNA". It matches the Rfam family "Bacterial small subunit ribosomal RNA", at positions 242 to 1520 of the family's 1533-position model. The record is from RNAcentral.
UAGCUAGUUGGUGAGGUAAAGGCUUACCAAGGCGACGAUCUGUAGCGGGUCUGAGAGGAUGAUCCGCCACACUGGAACUGAGACACGGUCCAGACUCCUACGGGAGGCAGCAGUGGGGAAUUUUGGACAAUGGGGGCAACCCUGAUCCAGCCAUGCCGCGUGAGUGAAGAAGGCCUUCGGGUUGUAAAGCUCUUUCGGCCGGGAAGAAAUCGCAUGGGCCAAUACCCUGUGUGGAUGACGGUACCGGAAUAAGAAGCACCGGCUAACUACGUGCCAGCAGCCGCGGUAAUACGUAGGGUGCGAGCGUUAAUCGGAAUUACUGGGCGUAAAGCGUGCGCAGGCGGUUUUGUAAGACAGGCGUGAAAUCCCCGGGCUUAACCUGGGAACUGCGUUUGUGACUGCAAGGCUAGAGUACGGCAGAGGGGGGUGGAAUUCCACGUGUAGCAGUGAAAUGCGUAGAGAUGUGGAGGAACACCAAUGGCGAAGGCAGCCCCCUGGGUCGAUACUGACGCUCAUGCACGAAAGCGUGGGUAGCAAACAGGAUUAGAUACCCUGGUAGUCCACGCCCUAAACUAUGUCAACUAGGUGUUGGGUGGGUAAAACCAUUUAGUACCGUAGCUAACGCGUGAAGUUGACCGCCUGGGGAGUACGGCCGCAAGGUUAAAACUCAAAGGAAUUGACGGGGACCCGCACAAGCGGUGGAUGAUGUGGAUUAAUUCGAUGCAACGCGAAAAACCUUACCUACCCUUGACAUGCCAGGAACUUGCCAGAGAUGGCUUGGUGCCCGAAAGGGAGCCUGGACACAGGUGCUGCAUGGCUGUCGUCAGCUCGUGUCGUGAGAUGUUGGGUUAAGUCCCGCAACGAGCGCAACCCUUGUCGUUAAUUGCCAUCAUUUAGUUGGGCACUUUAACGAGACUGCCGGUGACAAACCGGAGGAAGGUGGGGAUGACGUCAAGUCCUCAUGGCCCUUAUGGGUAGGGCUUCACACGUCAUACAAUGGUCGGUACAAAGGGUUGCCAAGCCGCGAGGCGGAGCCAAUCCCAGAAAGCCGAUCGUAGUCCGGGUUGCAGGCUGCAACUCGCCUGCAUGAAGUCGGAAUCGCUAGUAAUCGUGGAUCAGCAUGUCACGGUGAAUACGUUCCCGGGUCUUGUACACACCGCCCGUCACACCAUGGGAGCGGGUUCCGCCAGAAGUAGGUAGCCUAACCGCAAGGGGGGCGCUUACCACGGCGGGGUUCGUGACUGGGGUGAAGUCGGAACAAGGUAGCCGUAGGGGAACCUGCGGCUG